This 481-nucleotide ribosomal RNA is filed under the name uncultured bacterium. RNAcentral describes it as "partial 16S ribosomal RNA". It matches the Rfam family "Bacterial small subunit ribosomal RNA", at positions 29 to 523 of the family's 1533-position model. The record is from RNAcentral.
AAUGAACGUUGGCGGCGUGGAUUAGGCAUGCAAGUCGAGCGAGAACCCCGCAAGGGGGGACAGCGGCGCAAGGGACAGUAAUGUGUAGAUCAUCUGCCCUCAGGUCCGGGAUAGCUGCGGUAAACUGCAGGUAAUACCGGAUAACAUCUCCGGAUCAAAGGUGUGAUUCCGCCUGAGGAUGAGUCUGCAUCCUAUUAGCUAGUUGGCAGGGUAACGGCCUACCAAGGCAUUGAUGGGUAGCGGGGGUGAGAGCACGACCCGCGUCAUUGGGACUUAGACACUGCCCAGACACCUUCGGGUGGCUGCAGUCGAGAGUCUUGGGGAAUGGGCGCAAGCCUGACCGAGCGACGCCGCGUGUGGGAUGAAGGCCUUCGGGUUGUAAACCACUGUCAGAGGGGAUGAAAUGCAGGUGGGUUCUCCCAUCUGUUUGACAUAGCCUCAGAGGAAGGACGGGCUAAGUUCGUGCCAGCAGCCGCAGUAA